Small nucleolar RNA from Sorex fumeus (smoky shrew), 138 nucleotides. RefSeq annotates it as small nucleolar RNA SNORA15. NCBI's taxonomy places the organism in Eukaryota, Metazoa, Chordata, Mammalia, Eulipotyphla, Soricidae. The transcript has a single exon. The record is from RefSeq and is a predicted model, not a curated record.
GCAUGGCUGAAUACUGUGUUCUUUUUAUCAGUAUUUUACACAGCCAGACACCAUGCAAAAAUAAAGUUCUCCCUUGAAAUGGCUUUUGAUGGUAUGCAGCUUUUUUGUGGCAUAUCACUAUUAAAAGGGGCUACAAAU